GGCUAGAAUUGAAGGAGAACUGUUUAUUCCAUCACACAUGUAUAUGGGUUCUAGAGAUCUGAACUACCACCUUGCGAGACUGGAAAGUUGAAGGAGGCGGAAAAGAAGGAAAGAAAGAGAAGGUAGAGGAGCAGGAAUAAUAGAAAGAAGACUGGAGGGAGGAGAAACUCUGUCAUAUGCACAACAUGGAUGAACCCAGAGGUCAAUCUGUUAUAGGAUGGUGUCAGUUGAAGAAAAUUCUUGGCAUUCUGGAGGUUAACUCCAACUUUGGAGACUACAGAACAGACUGAUCAGAUGAUUUGGUACUAACGUGACAAAUCUGGUAUAUUGGCGGGUUUCCAUCCUCCCUGGCACUUUUUUCUUUCCUGCUGUCAAGGAUCUC
Long non-coding RNA from Mastomys coucha (southern multimammate mouse), 382 nucleotides. RefSeq lists it as uncharacterized. Lineage: Eukaryota; Metazoa; Chordata; Mammalia; Rodentia; Muridae. The record is from RefSeq and is a predicted model, not a curated record. The transcript is spliced from 4 exons.